RNAcentral lists this ribosomal RNA (487 nucleotides) under uncultured bacterium. RNAcentral's name for it is "bacterial SSU rRNA". It matches the Rfam family "Bacterial small subunit ribosomal RNA", at positions 28 to 507 of the family's 1533-position model. The record is from RNAcentral.
GAUGAACGCUAGCGGGAGGCUUAACACAUGCAAGUCGAGGGGCAUCACGAGGUAGCAAUACUUUGGUGGCGACCGGCGCACGGGUGAGUAACACGUAUGCAACCUUCCCUGUACAGGGGGAUAACCCGGAGAAAUUCGGACUAAUACCCCAUGAUGAUAUUAUGGGGCAUCCUUUAAUAUUUAAAGCUCUGGCGGUACAGGAUGGGCAUGCGCGACAUUAGCUAGUUGGUAAGGUAACGGCUUACCAAGGCGACGAUGUUUAGGGGACCUGAGAGGGUUGUCCCCCACACUGGUACUGAGACACGGACCAGACUCCUACGGGAGGCAGCAGUGAGGAAUAUUGGUCAAUGGGCGCAAGCCUGAACCAGCCAUCCCGCGUGCAGGAAGACGGCCCUAUGGGUUGUAAACUGCUUUUCCAGGGAGAGAAACUUACGCACGUGUUGCGUGACUGACGGUACCCUGGGAAUAAGCAUCGGCUAACUCCGUG